This 319-nucleotide ribosomal RNA is filed under the name uncultured eukaryote. RNAcentral's name for it is "partial 18S ribosomal RNA". It matches the Rfam family "Eukaryotic small subunit ribosomal RNA", at positions 1470 to 1796 of the family's 1831-position model. The record is from RNAcentral.
CCCUUAGAUGUUCUGGGCAGCACGCGCGCUACAAUGGUCUUCGCAAACGGAUGCAUUCUCGAAGGAGAAUGCCAAUCUUGGAAUCUAUGCCUUGGUCGGGACAGUUGCUUGCAAUUUUUCGACUCGAACCAGGAAUUCCUUAUAAUCGUGAUUCAUCACAUCACGAUGAAUACGUCCCUGCCCUUUGUACACACCGCCCGUCGCUCCUACCGAUCGAAGAGUUAGGUGAAUUGUUUUGAUCGAUAAGAUUUGACUAUGGUCAACUCUCGUUGUGAAAUUCUCUGAAUCUGACUGUUUAGAGGAAGGAAAAGUCGUAACA